Molecule: ribosomal RNA, 491 nt
Filed under: uncultured bacterium
Lineage: Bacteria
Description: partial 16S ribosomal RNA
Rfam family: Bacterial small subunit ribosomal RNA
Source: RNAcentral
GUGAACGCUGGCGGUAGGCCUAACACAUGCAAGUCGAACGGCAGCACAGUAAGAGCUUGCUCUUACGGGUGGCGAGUGGCGGACGGGUGAGGAAUACAUCGGAAUCUACUUUUUCGUGGGGGAUAACGUAGGGAAACUUACGCUAAUACCGCAUACGACCUACGGGUGAAAGCAGGGGAUCUUCGGACCUUGCGCGAUUGAAUGAGCCGAUGUCGGAUUAGCUAGUUGGCGGGGUAAAGGCCCACCAAGGCGACGAUCCGUAGCUGGUCUGAGAGGAUGAUCAGCCAAAAUGGAACUGAGACAAGGUCCAAACUCCUACGGGAGGGCGCAGUGGGGAAUAUUGGACAAUGGGCGCAAGCCUGAACCAGCCAUACCGCGUGGGUGAAGAAGGCCUUCGGGUUGUAAAGCCCUUUUGUUGGGAAAGAAAAGCAGCAGGUUAAUACCCCGCUGUUCUGACGGUACCCAAAGAAUAAGCACCGGCUAACUUCGUG